This 1373-nucleotide ribosomal RNA is filed under the name uncultured bacterium. RNAcentral describes it as "bacterial SSU rRNA". It matches the Rfam family "Bacterial small subunit ribosomal RNA", at positions 28 to 1381 of the family's 1533-position model. The record is from RNAcentral.
GAUGAACGCUGGCGGCGUGCCUAAUACAUGCAAGUCGAGCGAACGGACGAGAAGCUUGCUUCUCUGAUGUUAGCGGCGGACGGGUGAGUAACACGUGGAUAACCUACCUAUAAGACUGGGAUAACUUCGGGAAACCGGAGCUAAUACCGGAUAAUAUUUUGAACCGCAUGGUUCAAAAGUGAAAGACGGUCUUGCUGUCACUUAUAGAUGGAUCCGCGCUGCAUUAGCUAGUUGGUAAGGUAACGGCUUACCAAGGCAACGAUGCAUAGCCGACCUGAGAGGGUGAUCGGCCACACUGGAACUGAGACACGGUCCAGACUCCUACGGGAGGCAGCAGUAGGGAAUCUUCCGCAAUGGGCGAAAGCCUGACGGAGCAACGCCGCGUGAGUGAUGAAGGUCUUCGGAUCGUAAAACUCUGUUAUUAGGGAAGAACAUAUGUGUAAGUAACUGUGCACAUCUUGACGGUACCUAAUCAGAAAGCCACGGCUAACUACGUGCCAGCAGCCGCGGUAAUACGUAGGUGGCAAGCGUUAUCCGGAAUUAUUGGGCGUAAAGCGCGCGUAGGCGGUUUUUUAAGUCUGAUGUGAAAGCCCACGGCUCAACCGUGGAGGGUCAUUGGAAACUGGAAAACUUGAGUGCAGAAGAGGAAAGUGGAAUUCCAUGUGUAGCGGUGAAAUGCGCAGAGAUAUGGAGGAACACCAGUGGCGAAGGCGACUUUCUGGUCUGUAACUGACGCUGAUGUGCGAAAGCGUGGGGAUCAAACAGGAUUAGAUACCCUGGUAGUCCACGCCGUAAACGAUGAGUGCUAAGUGUUAGGGGGUUUCCGCCCCUUAGUGCUGCAGCUAACGCAUUAAGCACUCCGCCUGGGGAGUACGACCGCAAGGUUGAAACUCAAAGGAAUUGACGGGGACCCGCACAAGCGGUGGAGCAUGUGGUUUAAUUCGAAGCAACGCGAAGAACCUUACCAAAUCUUGACAUCCUUUGACAACUCUAGAGAUAGAGCCUUCCCCUUCGGGGGACAAAGUGACAGGUGGUGCAUGGUUGUCGUCAGCUCGUGUCGUGAGAUGUUGGGUUAAGUCCCGCAACGAGCGCAACCCUUAAGCUUAGUUGCCAUCAUUAAGUUGGGCACUCUAAGUUGACUGCCGGUGACAAACCGGAGGAAGGUGGGGAUGACGUCAAAUCAUCAUGCCCCUUAUGAUUUGGGCUACACACGUGCUACAAUGGACAAUACAAAGGGCAGCGAAACCGCGAGGUCAAGCAAAUCCCAUAAAGUUGUUCUCAGUUCGGAUUGUAGUCUGCAACUCGACUACAUGAAGCUGGAAUCGCUAGUAAUCGUAGAUCAGCAUGCUACGGUGAAUACGUAUCCCGGGUCU